GAUGAAGAACGUAGCGAAAUGCGAUAAGUAAUGUGAAUUGCAGAAUUCAGUGAAUCAUCGAGUCUUUGAACGCACAUUGCGCCCCCUGGUAUUCCGGGGGGCAUGCCUGUCCGAGCGUCAUUGCCGCCCUCAAGCACGGCUUGUGUGUUGGGCCCCCGCCCCCCGGCUUCGGGGGGCGGGCCCGAAAGGCAGCGGCGGCACCGCGUCCGGUCCUCGAGCGUAUGGGGCUUCGUCACCCGCUCUGUAGGCCCGGCCGGCGCCCGCCGGCGACCCCAAUCAAUCUUUCCAGGUUGACCUCGGAUCAGGUAGGGAUACCCGCUGAACUUAAACAUAUCAUAAGCGGAGGA
RNAcentral lists this unclassified non-coding RNA (347 nucleotides) under soil metagenome. RNAcentral's name for it is "partial contains 5.8S ribosomal RNA, internal transcribed spacer 2, and large subunit ribosomal RNA". The stretch from base 1 to 120 matches the Rfam family "5.8S ribosomal RNA", at positions 35 to 154 of the family's 154-position model. The record is from RNAcentral.